GCCACUCAACAGAUAUUACAUGAUUUUCUCAAUUUUUCGUCUGUGUUAAUUCAUUGAUUUAUUUGGUGAUAUGGCUUCUGGACACUUUUCUUUUCAAAACAUUUACAGAACCAUCCAUAAGGACCUGAGGAACAUAUCCUAUAGCCUCACCAUGAUCCACACCAUUUUUUAAGCAUUUAGGGGCUACUCAACAAGAAGUAGGUGAUUUUC
Molecule: long non-coding RNA, 210 nt
Filed under: Solanum tuberosum (potato)
Lineage: Eukaryota; Viridiplantae; Streptophyta; Magnoliopsida; Solanales; Solanaceae
Description: long non-coding RNA (STUB_LNC001012)
Source: RNAcentral